This 219-nucleotide small RNA is filed under the name Afipia sp. Root123D2. RNAcentral's name for it is "Alphaproteobacterial sRNA ar45". It matches the Rfam family "Alphaproteobacterial sRNA ar45". Lineage: Bacteria; Pseudomonadati; Pseudomonadota; Alphaproteobacteria; Hyphomicrobiales; Nitrobacteraceae. The record is from Rfam by way of RNAcentral.
GCCCAAUUUCGCACGUGCCUGUGGUCGUGUGUCAGUCGGUGGGUAUCCGGACAAGAGGCCGGACAGCCGCCAAGGAAAAGGGACCCAGCAUCUCUCUCAAGGGAUGCGCCGCUUGAAGGGUCUCUUGGACUUGCAACCGUGACUGACAGCCGGAGGCGAACCGGCGCACCCCGCUCUCAACGGGGGACGCGACUUAAAGCAACGACGGAGCGGGCUUUU